RNAcentral lists this ribosomal RNA (468 nucleotides) under uncultured bacterium. RNAcentral's name for it is "partial 16S ribosomal RNA". It matches the Rfam family "Bacterial small subunit ribosomal RNA", at positions 28 to 507 of the family's 1533-position model. The record is from RNAcentral.
GACGAACGCUGGCGGCGUGCUUAACACAUGCAAGUCGAACGGAAAGGCCCUGCUUUUGUGGGGUGCUCGAGUGGCGAACGGGUGAGUAACACGUGAGUAACCUGCCCUUGACUUUGGGAUAACUUCAGGAAACUGGGGCUAAUACCGGAUAGGAGCUCCUGCUGCAUGGUGGGGGUUGGAAAGUUUCGGCGGUUGGGGAUGGACUCGCGGCUUAUCAGCUUGUUGGUGGGGUAGUGGCUUACAAAGGCUUUGACGGGUAGCCGGCCUGGGGGGGUGUCCGGCGACAUAGGUACUGAGAUACGGCCCAGCUUCGACAGGGAGGAAGCAGGGAGGCAAAUUGCAGAAUGGGAGAAAGCCUAAGACGGAGACGCCGCGUCGGGGAGAAAGGCCUUAGGAUUGGAAAACGCUUUCGCCUGUAACAAGGAGUGAGUGAGGGUAAUGGGUAAAGAAACACCGGCUAACUACGGG